GAUGAAGAACGUAGCGAAAUGCGAUAAGUAAUGUGAAUUGCAGAAUUCAGUGAAUCAUCGAGUCUUUGAACGCACAUUGCGACCCCUGGUAUUCCGGGGGGCAUGCCUGUCCGAGCGUCAUUGCUGCCCUCAAGCACGGCUUGUGUGUUGGGCCCCCGUCCCCGGUUCUCCCCGGGGACGGGCCCGAAAGGCAGCGGCGGCACCGCGUCCGAUCCUCGAGCGUAUGGGGCUUUGUCACCCGCUCUGUAGGCCCGGCCGGCGCCAGCCGACACCCCAACUUUAUUUUCUAAGGUUGACCUCGGAUCAGGUAGGGAUACCCGCUGAACUUAAGCAUAUCAAUAAGCGGAGGA
Molecule: unclassified non-coding RNA, 350 nt
Filed under: soil metagenome
Description: partial contains 5.8S ribosomal RNA, internal transcribed spacer 2, and large subunit ribosomal RNA
Rfam family: 5.8S ribosomal RNA (bases 1-120)
Source: RNAcentral